GACGAACGCUGGCGGCGUGCUUAACACAUGCAAGUCGAACGGAAAGGCCCUGCUUUUGUGGGGUGCUCGAGUGGCGAACGGGUGAGUAACACGUGAGUAACCUGCCCUUGACUUUGGGAUAACUUCAGGAAACUGUGGCUAAUACCGGAUAGGAGCUCCUGCUGCAUGGUGGGGGUUGGAAAGUUUCGGCGGUUGGGGAUGGACUCGCGGCUUAUCAGCUUGUUGGUGGGGUAGUGGCUUACCAAGGCUUUGACGGGUAGCCGGCCUGAGAGGGUGACCGGCCACAUUGGGACUGAGAGACGGCCCAGACUCCUACGGGAGGCAGCAGUGGGGAAUAUUGCACAAUGGGCGGAAGCCUGAUGCAGCAACGCCGCGUGCGGGAUGACGGCCUUCGGGUUGUAAAACGCUUUCGCCUGUGACGAAGCGUGAGUGACGGUAAUGGGUAAAGAAGCACCGGCUAACUACGUG
This 468-nucleotide ribosomal RNA is filed under the name uncultured bacterium. Its description in RNAcentral is "partial 16S ribosomal RNA". It matches the Rfam family "Bacterial small subunit ribosomal RNA", at positions 28 to 507 of the family's 1533-position model. The record is from RNAcentral.